CAUUGGCUUGGUCCAGAAAGGCGGGACCUCGGUCCAGAAAGGCGGGACAACUUGAAGCCAAGACAGGAAGCAGGAAAGGGGCUUCCAGGUCACAGGUAGAAACAAAUGGUUGCAUCCUUUUGAGUUUCUGAUUAGCCUCUCCAAAGGAGGCAACAAGAGAUGCGUUUAUCUCAGUGAGCAGAAGGGUGACUUUGAAUAGAGUGGGAGGCAGGUUGGCCCUGAGCAAUUCCCAGCUUGACUUUUCCCUUUAGCUUAGUGAUUUUGGAGCCCCAAGAUUUAUUUUCCUUUCACAGCAUGUGGCGGUUCUUUAUUCUCAUAAAUGAUUUCAAAACAUUAUGCACUUGGGGGAUUUUAUAAUGAAAAAUCGCGGUGUCCUAUUAAAGCACAAAGAGGCAAAGCAGAAGCAGCAGACAGGACGUCAAAGAACCAGUGCAUGGCUGCGCCGGGCCCCGGGGCUUCCCACACGGGUUACUGUCAUCCUUCCGAAUCACUGGACUUGAAGCCCAGCAUGUUGCUGAGUUUUGCUCCAGAGACAAUUGCCAUUUGUUAUUUAAGUGACAAAGGUAACGCAUGCCGGCGGGAAGCAAUGCACAAAAUGUGAAGGUGAGUGGAGACCCUCCCCAGACCCCCCACCUCUGCCACCACCACA
This 649-nucleotide long non-coding RNA is filed under the name Homo sapiens (human). Its description in RNAcentral is "non-protein coding lnc-EN2-3:5". The record is from RNAcentral. Lineage: Eukaryota; Metazoa; Chordata; Mammalia; Primates; Hominidae.